CCUACGGGAUGCAGCAGUGGGGAAUAUUGGGCAAUGGGCGCAAGCCUGACCCAGCAAUGCCGCGUGAAGGAAGAAGGCUUUAGGGUUGUAAACUUCUUUGACAGGGGAAGAGCAGAAGACGGUACCCUGAAAACAAGCCACGGCUAACUAAGUGCCAGCAGCCGGGGUAAUACGUAGGUGGCAAGAGUUGUCCGGAUUUACUGGGUGUAAAGGGCGUGUAGCCGGGAAGGCAAGUCAGAUGUGAAAGCUGGAGGCUCAACCUUCAAUGUGCAUUUGAAACUGUUUUUCUUGAGUACUGGAGAGGCAGACGGAAUUCGUUGUGUAGCGGUGAAAUGCGUAGAUAUAAGGAGGAACACCAAUGGCGAAGGCGGUCUGCUGGACAGCCACUGACGGUGAGGCGCGAAAGCGUGGGGAGCAAACAGGAUUAGAUACCCGAGUAGUC
Molecule: ribosomal RNA, 442 nt
Filed under: uncultured bacterium
Lineage: Bacteria
Description: partial 16S ribosomal RNA
Rfam family: Bacterial small subunit ribosomal RNA
Source: RNAcentral